GACGAACGCUGGCGGCGUGCCUAAUACAUGCAAGUAGAACGCACAGUUUAUACCGUAGCUUGCUACACCAUAAACUGUGAGUUGCGAACGGGUGAGUAACGCGUAGGUAACCUGCCUGGUAGCGGGGUAUAACUAUUGGAAACGAUAGCUAAUACCGCAUAAUAUUGAUUAUUGCAUGAUAAUUGAUUGAAAGAUGCUAUUGCAUCACUACCAGAUGGACCUGCGUUGUAUUAGCUAGUAGGUGAGGUAACGGCUCACCUAGGCGACGAUACAUAGCCGACCUGAGAGGGUGAUCGGCCACACUGGGACUGAGACACGGCCCAGACUCCUACGGGAGGCAGCAGUAGGGAAUCUUCGGCAAUGGACGAAAGUCUGACCGAGCAACGCCGCGUGAGUGAAGAAGGUUUUCGGAUCGUAAAGCUCUGUUGUAAGAGAAGAACGGGUGUGAGAGUGGAAAGUUCACACUGUGACGGUAUCUUACCAGAAAGGGACGGCUAACUACGUG
This 505-nucleotide ribosomal RNA is filed under the name uncultured bacterium. Its description in RNAcentral is "partial 16S ribosomal RNA". It matches the Rfam family "Bacterial small subunit ribosomal RNA", at positions 28 to 507 of the family's 1533-position model. The record is from RNAcentral.